Molecule: microRNA precursor, 52 nt
Filed under: Equus caballus (horse)
Lineage: Eukaryota; Metazoa; Chordata; Mammalia; Perissodactyla; Equidae
Description: mir-1302 microRNA precursor family
Rfam family: mir-1302 microRNA precursor family
Source: Rfam by way of RNAcentral
UUUGUAGUAUAAGUAUGUCCCAUGUCGUAUUUGGGACAUACUUAUACAAAAA